UGGUGGCGAUGCGACAUAUGGAAACACCCGUUCCCAUACCGAACACGAUGGUUAAGCGUAUGUCGGCCGAUGAUACUUGGUUGGAGACGACCUGGGAAAGUAGGUGGCUGCCAGAUU
This 117-nucleotide ribosomal RNA is filed under the name Petrocella atlantisensis. Lineage: Bacteria; Bacillati; Bacillota; Clostridia; Lachnospirales; Vallitaleaceae. The record is from RNAcentral.